RNAcentral lists this ribosomal RNA (83 nucleotides) under Vibrio parahaemolyticus VPTS-2010_2. Lineage: Bacteria; Pseudomonadati; Pseudomonadota; Gammaproteobacteria; Vibrionales; Vibrionaceae. The record is from RNAcentral.
CCAUUCCGAACUCAGAAGUGAAACGAAAUAGCGCCGAUGGUAGUGUGGGGUUUCCCCAUGUGAGAGUAGGACAUCGCCAGGCU